UCUUUUAAAAAUAAAUCUAGUAAAAGGGAUUAUUGUGGGGCAGGCCUCUGGCCUGUGCUAUACAGGAGGUCAGACUAGAUGAUC
This is a long non-coding RNA of Gopherus evgoodei (Goodes thornscrub tortoise), 84 nucleotides long. RefSeq lists it as uncharacterized. The record is from RefSeq and is a predicted model, not a curated record. The transcript is spliced from 3 exons. NCBI's taxonomy places the organism in Eukaryota, Metazoa, Chordata, Testudines, Testudinidae.